CAACUUUCAGCAACGGAUCUCUUGGCUCUCGCAUCGAUGAAGGACGUAGCGAAAUGCGAUAAGUAAUGUGAAUUGCAGAAUUCAGUGAAUCAUCGAAUCUUUGAACGCAUCUUGCGCUCCUUGGUAUUCCGAGGAGCAUGCCUGUUUGAGUGUCAUUU
This 158-nucleotide ribosomal RNA is filed under the name uncultured fungus. Its description in RNAcentral is "5.8S ribosomal RNA". It matches the Rfam family "5.8S ribosomal RNA". From Rfam's summary of the family: 5.8S ribosomal RNA (5.8S rRNA) is a component of the large subunit of the eukaryotic ribosome. Lineage: Eukaryota; Fungi. The record is from RNAcentral.